UACGUAGGGUGCGAGCGUUGUCCGGAGUUAUUGGGCGUAAAGCGCGCGCAGGCGGCUUGGCGCGCCCGACGUGAAAGCCCCCGGCUUAACCGGGGAGGGUCGUCGGGUACGGCCAGGCUUGAGGGCGGGAGAGGGUGGUGGAAUUCCCGGUGUAGUGGUGAAAUGCGUAGAGAUCGGGAGGAACACCUGUGGCGAAGGCGGCCACCUGGGCCGACCCUGACGCUGAGGCGCGAAGGCGUGGGGAGCGAACGGG
Molecule: ribosomal RNA, 253 nt
Filed under: uncultured bacterium
Lineage: Bacteria
Description: partial 16S ribosomal RNA
Rfam family: Bacterial small subunit ribosomal RNA
Source: RNAcentral